UACUAUAGAAACCAAAUGGAGUCCAGAUU
RNAcentral lists this non-coding RNA (29 nucleotides) under Rattus norvegicus (Norway rat). The record is from RNAcentral. Lineage: Eukaryota; Metazoa; Chordata; Mammalia; Rodentia; Muridae.